UACCUGGUUGAUCCUGCCAGUAAUCAUAUGCUUGUCUCAAAGAUUAAGCCAUGCAUGUCUAAGUACAUGCCGAAAUAAGGCGAAACCGCGAAUGGCUCAUUAAAUCAGUUAUGGUUCCUUAGAUCGUUUCUUCCUACUUGGAUAACUGUGGCAAUUCUAGAGCUAAUACAUGCAGUGAGCCUGGAGCCCUUUGGGUAACGGGUGCUUUUAUUAGACCAAGAUCGAUCGGGUUUCGGCCCGUAUUGUGUGGUGACUCUGGAUAACUUUGUGCUGAUCGCAUGGCCACGAGCCGGCGACGUUUCUUUCAAGUGUCUGCCUUAUCAACUUUCGAUGGUAGGUUACUUGCUUACCAUGGUUGUUACGGGUAACGGAGAAUCAGGGUUCGAUUCCGGAGAGGGAGCCUGAGAAACGGCUACCACAUCCAAGGAAGGCAGCAGGCGCGCAAAUUACCCACUCCCGGCACGGGGAGGUAGUGACGAAAAAUAACAAUACGGGACUCUUUUGAGGCCCCGUAAUUGAAAUGAGUACACUCUAAAUCCUUUAACGAGGAUCAAUUGGAGGGCAAGUCUGGUGCCAGCAGCCGCGGUAAUUCCAGCUCCAAUAGCGUAUACUAAAGCUGCUGCGGUUAAAAAGCUCGUAGUUGGAUCUCAGUUCCAGACGAGUAGUGCAUCUACCCGAUGCGACGGCUCGGACUGAACAUCAUGCCGGUUCUUUCUUGGUGCACUUCAUUGUGUGCCUCGAGAUGGCCGGUGCUUUUACUUUGAAAAAAUUAGAGUGCUCAACGCAGGCGAGUCGCCUGAAUAAACUUGCAUGGAAUAAUAGAACAAGACCUCGUUUCUGUUCUGUUGGUUUUUGGAAUACGAGGUAAUGAUUAAGAGGGACGGACGGGGGCAUUCGUAUUGCGGCGCUAGAGGUGAAAUUCUUGGACCGUCGCAAGACGAACUACUGCGAAAGCAUUUGCCAAGAAUGUUUUCAUUGAUCAAGAACGAAAGUCAGAGGUUCGAAGGCGAUCAGAUACCGCCCUAGUUCUGACCAUAAACGAUGCCAACCAGCGAUCCGCCUGAGUUACUCAAAUGACUCGGCGGGCAGCUUCCGGGAAACCAAAGUAUUUGGGUUCCGGGGGAAGUAUGGUUGCAAAGCUGAAACUUAAAGGAAUUGACGGAAGGGCACCACCAGGAGUGGAGCCUGCGGCUUAAUUUGACUCAACACGGGAAAACUUACCCGGCCCGGACACUGGGAGGAUUGACAGAUUGAGAGCUCUUUCUUGAUUCGGUGGAUGGUGGUGCAUGGCCGUUCUUAGUUGGUGGAGCGAUUUGUCUGGUUAAUUCCGAUAACGAACGAGACUCUAGCCUAUUAAAUAGGUGCGGGGUUCCCAGCACCUUACAACCUUCUUAGAGGGACAAGCGGCUCCUAGCCGCACGAAACAGAGCAAUAACAGGUCUGUGAUGCCCUUAGAUGUCCGGGGCCGCACGCGCGCUACACUGAAGGAAGCAGCGUGUCUUUAUCCCUGUCUGAAAAGACUGGGUAACCCGUGGAACUUCUUUCGUGAUUGGGAUAGGGGCUUGCAAUUGUUCCCCUUGAACGAGGAAUUCCCAGUAAGCGCGAGUCAUAAGCUCGCGUUGAUUACGUCCCUGCCCUUUGUACACACCGCCCGUCGCUACUACCGAUUGAAUGAUUUAGUGAGGUCUUCGGACCGAUGUCCGGCGCGGCCUUUCGGUUGCGCCGGUCUGUUGGAAAGAUGACCAAACUUGAUCAUUUAGAGGAAGUAAAAGUCGUAACAAGGUUUCCGUAGGUGAACCUGCGGAAGGAUCAUUA
RNAcentral lists this ribosomal RNA (1815 nucleotides) under Rhipicephalus microplus (southern cattle tick). RNAcentral describes it as "small subunit ribosomal RNA". It matches the Rfam family "Eukaryotic small subunit ribosomal RNA". The record is from Rfam by way of RNAcentral. Lineage: Eukaryota; Metazoa; Arthropoda; Arachnida; Ixodida; Ixodidae. RNAcentral also lists the same sequence under 2 other names.